RNAcentral lists this transfer RNA (77 nucleotides) under Pseudochryseolinea flava. Its description in RNAcentral is "Chryseolinea flava tRNA-Met". It matches the Rfam family "tRNA". From Rfam's summary of the family: Transfer RNA (tRNA) molecules are approximately 80 nucleotides in length. Their secondary structure includes four short double-helical elements and three loops (D, anti-codon, and T loops). Lineage: Bacteria; Pseudomonadati; Bacteroidota; Cytophagia; Cytophagales; Fulvivirgaceae. The record is from RNAcentral.
GGCGCGGUAGCUCAGGUGGUUAGAGCGUUGGAUUCAUAACCCAAAGGUCGGGGGUUCAACUCUCCCCCGCGCUACAA